GGGUUCUAUUCCCAAACCGUGUAUACAUUCCUUUGUUGCUUUGGCAGGCCGCCUUUUAGGCGUUGGCUCCGGCUGACUGCGCCUGCCAGAGGACCCAAACUCUUUUGUUUAGUGAUGUCUGAGUACUAUAUAAUAGUUAAAACUUUCAACAACGGAUCUCUUGGUUCUGGCAUCGAUGAAGAACGCAGCGAAAUGCGAUAAGUAAUGUGAAUUGCAGAAUUCAGUGAAUCAUCGAAUCUUUGAACGCACAUUGCGCCCCUUGGUAUUCCGAGGGGCAUGCCUGUUCGAGCGUCAUUAUAACCACUCAAGCCCUCGGCUUGGUCUUGGGGUUCGCGGUUUCGCGGCCCUUAAAAUCAGUGGCGGUGCCGUCUGGCUCUAAGCGUAGUAAUCCUCUCGCUAUAGGGUCCAGGUAACCACCUGUCAGAACCCCCCAUUCUUUAUGGUUGACCUCGGAUCAGGUAGGGAUACCCGCUGAACUUAAGCAUAUCAAUAAGCGGAGGAAAAGAAACCAACAGGGAUUGCCUCAGUAACGGCGAGUGAAGCGGCAACAGCUCAAAUUUGAAAUCUGGCUCUUUCAGGGUCCGAGUUGUAAUUUGUAGAAGAUGCUUUGGGUGUGGCUCCGGUCUAAGUUCCUUGGAACAGGACGUCAUAGAGGGUGAGAAUCCCGUACGUGACUGGGUGCCUUCGCUCAUGUAAAGCUCUUUCGACGAGUCGAGUUGUUUGGGAAUGCAGCUCAAAAUGGGUGGUAAAUUUCAUCUAAAGCUAAAUAUUGGCCAGAGACCGAUUGCGCACAAGUAGAGUGAUCGAAAGAUGAAAAGCACUUUGGAAAGAGAGUUAAACAGUACGUGAAAUUGUUGAAAGGGAAGCGCUUGCAACCAGACUUGCGCGCUGUUGAUCAUCCGAGCUUUUGCCCGGUGCACUCGGCAGCGCU
RNAcentral lists this ribosomal RNA (931 nucleotides) under uncultured Meliniomyces. RNAcentral's name for it is "eukaryotic LSU rRNA". The stretch from base 445 to 931 matches the Rfam family "Eukaryotic large subunit ribosomal RNA", at positions 1 to 493 of the family's 3401-position model. The record is from RNAcentral. Lineage: Eukaryota; Fungi; Ascomycota; Leotiomycetes; Helotiales; Helotiaceae.